Molecule: ribosomal RNA, 357 nt
Filed under: Stenocotis sp. SK-2013
Lineage: Eukaryota; Metazoa; Arthropoda; Insecta; Hemiptera; Cicadellidae
Description: partial 12S ribosomal RNA
Source: RNAcentral
AUACCCUAUUAUAAAUUAAGUAAUUUAUUAACUAGACUUUAAAUAUAUAAUAAAUCAAAGAAUUUGGCGGUUAAUUAACCAAAUUAGAGGAACUUGUAUUAUAAUCGAUACACCACGAUCUAUUUUACUUAAUUAAGCUUGUAUACCGCUAUCUAAUAGGAUUUUUUUAAAAAAAUUAAUCUUUCAUUUUACUAAAUUAAUUUUAAGUCAAGGUGCAGCUAAUUUUUAAGAAAAUAUGAGUUACAUUUUAAGCUUUAUAAAUUUGGAAAUUAAUAAUUUAAUUUUAAAUAAAAAAGGAUUUAAAAGUAAAAUUUAUUAAUUAAUAAAUUUGAAAGUGUUCUAAUUAAUGUACACAUC